GUAGGAGCCAGCCAUGUGCGGAGCACAUAUUCAGGAUGCUGGCGACGACAUGCCGCCGAGCGGAUGCGAGGGGGCGUUACCGAU
This 84-nucleotide small RNA is filed under the name human gut metagenome. RNAcentral describes it as "GA-cis RNA". It matches the Rfam family "GA-cis RNA". The record is from RNAcentral.